This is a long non-coding RNA of Aethalodelphis obliquidens (Pacific white-sided dolphin), 922 nucleotides long. RefSeq lists it as uncharacterized. The transcript is spliced from 2 exons. Lineage: Eukaryota; Metazoa; Chordata; Mammalia; Artiodactyla; Delphinidae. The record is from RefSeq and is a predicted model, not a curated record.
ACUUGGCAGAGAUGGCCUUCAAAGGGCUUGACCAAUCACUGACGUCUCAUUUAAACCUUGCUGUCAAUACACACAAUGUCACAAGAGUUGGUGCAAGAUGUAUAUAAGUAUACUCCCCACUGCACCCACCCCUCCACCAAAAAAAAUGAAGAAAUUAACUCUGCAAAAUAGCAAAUAGAAAACAGCCUUGUUUUUGCUGAAAAAACGUAACGUGAUGUUUGUGGUCUAAUACUAUGAUGACACUGUACUUGUUCUCUGACCUCCUAUUUGAUCAGCAUAUUCCCCACAGACAAGAGAGGCUCACACUCAUACUGCUCUUCCUUCUUUGCCCUACUCAGCCACUCCCUGCAAUAAUAGGAAGAUGCCAAUGCAAGCAAGGUUCCAUUUUCCUUUAAGGUUAGAAACUAUCGAUAAGGUUGGCCCUAUCCUUUGUUCUUCCCACAUCUUGGAUCCUCAGUGACAAUAUUUACUGAACACUAGGGAUGUUUGGCUUUCUAUUUGGAGAGGUAGGUAGAGUGGAAUCCACUUGCUCUGAAGAAGAGUUAACAUUAAGUUGUUUUUGUCUCCCACAGGGAGGUUAAUUUAGCCACCAGGCAGUAAACAGUGGUGGUGAUUUAACAAUUACCUCUUUUCUAGAACAACAAUUUCAAAGAAUCAACCUAGCCACUUCCCUUUUCACAAAUCGGUGACAAUGAAAUCAGCAAUGCAAGAAUACUGCCGAUAGCCAAAGUCCUGCAAAUAAUAGGCUGUGCCACCAUGCCAAGGGAAGGGGCCAGAGCCUCACAAAUCAUGAAAUGACUGACAAAAGCUGGGGUCACAUGGAUCCUUGUAAUUUAAUCCCAAUUUUCUUACAAAAUAAACUAUACGUUUUCAACACUGUCUUGUUCACUGUGAUUUUAAUAAACACUGAUAAUUAUUUGUA